RNAcentral lists this transfer RNA (69 nucleotides) under Chrysomallon squamiferum (scaly-foot gastropod). Its description in RNAcentral is "tRNA-Ser". The record is from RNAcentral. Lineage: Eukaryota; Metazoa; Mollusca; Gastropoda; Neomphalida; Peltospiridae.
AAGGAAAAUAUGAUAAAAAACAGGGCUGCUAACUUUGUUUUGAGUGGUUUAAUUCCAUUCUUUUCCUUA